UUCUCAUACUUUGUUACGCAAUUUAUAGCUAUUCUGAAAUCAAAGCUUUGUCAGAAAAUUUCUUAAUCUUAAUGCAUCACAAGUUACCUGUGUGUUACGAGAUGUUGAUAUCGUAAGGAAAAUAAUGAAAGUAUCGAUUAUAAUGUCUUGGGCAAAUAUAAUCACAGAGUAACGAAUAACUGGCAGCAGACUGACAGUGUUAUCAGGAGGAAAUGUCAGCGAAAAAUACCAGUAGUCUAGAUUGCCCGCACUAGUAAAGCUUAUUGCAAAGUCUGAUACAAAGAUGUUAUUAUACAUCAUUGUAUAUAACAUGUCUGGAUUCCUGAAUUAUUCUAUGUAACAUGCAUAUAUUACAUAUAUUAUAUGUUACGAAUACGUUUUACGACGCCCUGCACGUUAUAGAAUACAUCUCAGUCUUUAGACACCGUCUGAGAGCUUUAUGAACGAUUUAAAUGACGGCUUCGAACUCCAUUGUGCGUCAGUUGCAGAUUUCAAUUGCCAGCUGCGUCCACGUAAAUUAAAUGUUCUCCCGACCGAACCACGUUAGGAAUUCGAGGUGAUCGGCAGACCAGUAAUAUCCGUGUAAAUUGAUCAAUUUGAAUCACAGAUUUCCUUUAUUGCUCGUCAUUUAUUGUUGACGUAAAAAGAACAGUCAGAAAAA
This is a long non-coding RNA of Ooceraea biroi (clonal raider ant), 661 nucleotides long. RefSeq lists it as uncharacterized. Lineage: Eukaryota; Metazoa; Arthropoda; Insecta; Hymenoptera; Formicidae. The record is from RefSeq and is a predicted model, not a curated record.